UGUCUUUUGAGUACCUUCGUUUCCUCGGCGGGUCCGCCCGCCGGUUGGACAACACUUAAACCCUUUGUAGUUGCAAUCAGCGUCUGAAUAAACUUAAUAGUUACAACUUUCAACAACGGAUCUCUUGGUUCUGGCAUCGAUGAAGAACGCAGCGAAAUGCGAUAAGUAGUGUGAAUUGCAGAAUUCAGUGAAUCAUCGAAUCUUUGAACGCACAUUGCGCCCCUUGGUAUUCCAUGGGGCAUGCCUGUUCGAGCGUCAUUUGUACCUUCAAGCCUUGCUUGGUGUUGGGUGUUUGUCUCGCCUCUGCGCGCAGACUCGCCUCAAAACAAUUGGCAGCCGGCGUAUUGAUUUCGGAGCGCAGUACAUCUCGCGCUUUGCACUCAUAACGACGACGUCCAAAAAGUACAUUUUUACACUCUUGACCUCGGAUCAGGUAGGGAUACCCGCUGAACUUAAGCAUAUCAAUAA
RNAcentral lists this ribosomal RNA (468 nucleotides) under Phoma sp. RKDO793. RNAcentral's name for it is "eukaryotic LSU rRNA". The stretch from base 105 to 258 matches the Rfam family "5.8S ribosomal RNA". Lineage: Eukaryota; Fungi; Ascomycota; Dothideomycetes; Pleosporales; Didymellaceae. The record is from RNAcentral.